This is a non-coding RNA of Phrynosoma platyrhinos (Desert horned lizard), 73 nucleotides long. The record is from the annotation of a GenBank genome assembly. NCBI's taxonomy places the organism in Eukaryota, Metazoa, Chordata, Lepidosauria, Squamata, Phrynosomatidae.
UUCUAGUGUGGCAUAGUGGUUUGAGUGUUGGACUAUGACCCUGAAGACCAGGGUUUGAUUCCCAGCUUGGCCA